UUGACACGCAAAUGAUAAUUGUUAUUAUUAACUCAACUGGUCGCGAGAUCAGCUGAUAAGCUCAAGAGACCUUCAGUCGGACUCUUCAGAUUAUCUCCUCAUCAGGCUAAUCACGGUUUUUGACCCGGCACUUUGCCGGGUCUUUUUUUG
This is a non-coding RNA of Vibrio sp., 150 nucleotides long. NCBI's taxonomy places the organism in Bacteria, Pseudomonadati, Pseudomonadota, Gammaproteobacteria, Vibrionales, Vibrionaceae. The record is from Rfam.